GACGAACGCUGGCGGCGUGCUUAACACAUGCAAGUCGAACGGAAAGGCCUCUUUCGGGGGGUACUCGAGUGGCGAACGGGUGAGUAACACGUGAGUAACCUGCCCUCGACUUUGGGAUAACUUCAGGAAACUGGGGCUAAUACCGGAUACGAGCUCCUGCUGCAUGGUGGGGGUUGGAAAGUUUCGGCGGUUGGGGAUGGACUCGCGGCUUAUCAGCUUGUUGGUGGGGUAGUGGCUUACCAAGGCUUUGACGGGUAGCCGGCCUGAGAGGGUGACCGGCCACAUUGGGACUGAGAUACGGCCCAGACUCCUACGGGAGGCAGCAGUGGGGAAUAUUGCACAAUGGGUGGAAGCCUGAUGCAGCAACGCCGUGUGCGGGAUGACGGCCUUCGGGUUGUAAACCGCUUUCGCUCAUGACGAAGCUUUGUGUGACGGUAGUGGGUAAAGAAGCACCGGCUAACUACGUG
This 467-nucleotide ribosomal RNA is filed under the name uncultured bacterium. Its description in RNAcentral is "partial 16S ribosomal RNA". It matches the Rfam family "Bacterial small subunit ribosomal RNA", at positions 28 to 507 of the family's 1533-position model. The record is from RNAcentral.